RNAcentral lists this small nucleolar RNA (126 nucleotides) under Erinaceus europaeus (western European hedgehog). Its description in RNAcentral is "Small nucleolar RNA SNORA30/SNORA37 family (ENSEEUG00000022526.1)". The record is from RNAcentral. Lineage: Eukaryota; Metazoa; Chordata; Mammalia; Eulipotyphla; Erinaceidae.
AAAGAUUUUUACAGGUCCAUCCCUAAACAGCGGGGCAGGACUUGGUAGCUGGUGCUAAGGGGAAAGUCUGGAUUGCAUUGUCCUGGGACCACUUCAGUGGCAACUGUCAUUCAACUUGACAGAGAA